Molecule: long non-coding RNA, 819 nt
Organism: Bombyx mori (domestic silkworm)
Lineage: Eukaryota; Metazoa; Arthropoda; Insecta; Lepidoptera; Bombycidae
Exons: 3
Source: RefSeq, a predicted model, not a curated record
AGUCCGUUUGCCAAUAAGCAGUGAUCAGUUUCUUUUGUGUUUUUCUAUUGUUUACCUACUAUAUUAGAUGAUGACUUACCUCCAAAACGCUUUAAAACUUUCGUUUAUAAUUCUAAGUGUGUUUAUAAUUAAAGAGCUACAGUGAAAUAAAAUGAAUUCUUCAAGAAAGGCAGCACCCAUGACAAAAGAUGAGACGAUGAUUCUAGCAGAACUGGUGGCGGCGAAAAAACAUUUCAAUAUUAAGGCAACAAAUGCCACAAACAAUAAAUUGAAGGAGCAGGCUUGGCAAACCCUUGUAAAUGAUUUUAAUUCGUCGAUUCGUCGUUUCCCACGAACUCCAUCGCAGCUUCGACUAAAAUGGGAAAAUUUAAAGAACGCUACGGCAACAUAAGAAACAACCUUAGUAAGGCUGGAGGUGGUAAGGAUUGCAGAUGAAAUUUUGGAUAAAGCAUGCACAUUGUUGUAGGUCACAUAUAAUAUUUUUAACACUUUUACAGCCAAGCGGAAACAAGAUGGAAGAAAAGAAAUGCAAGGCUAGCAUAGGGACAAUGCAUUAGCAGAAUAUCUAAUAGCAAAAAAGAGACUUGACUUGGAAAAUAAAGAAAAGGAGAUUGUUGUAGCAAAAGUUAAGUUAGAUUUAGAUAAUUUAAAAAAUUAAAAAUUACUUAAAAGGAAUAUUAAAUUUCAUAAAUUAAGUAGGCAAUAAUAAUUUUAUGUUAGAUAGUUUUUUAAGUAUAUGUACAAAUUCUAAAUUAAAUAUCUUGCAUGUACUAACUACCAUGUAAUUAUCAUUUUGGAAAAUAAAAAAUAGUCAAAUUA